CCAAGGAGGAGGACAGCCAGACAGAUGACAGAAAAAGACAUGCAUGUCUUUGUCGCUGUGCUCAGCAACUGAAGAGGAAAUCUUCCAUUGGGAGAAAGGGGUUGAGCAGAAUAAGACGGCAGUUCAGAGUGAACUGGGGUUUCCAUUCAACCCCGAACCUGAGGAAUUCAAGCCUGAACGAGCACUGAAGUUGAAGUAACUUCUCAAAGGCAAUGUUUGGUCUCUUCAUCUCUGUGUGCCCUCUUUAGUUAUUUCUCUCUGAAGUUCAGGUAAGCUGUUUUACAGAUGGUUGUUUUACAGUUUUUCCCACCCAGUGUGGAAGUAAUAUAAGAUCUUUCC
This 339-nucleotide long non-coding RNA is filed under the name Anser cygnoides (Swan goose). Its description in RNAcentral is "lncRNA (ENSACDG00005001570.1)". The record is from RNAcentral. Lineage: Eukaryota; Metazoa; Chordata; Aves; Anseriformes; Anatidae.